RNAcentral lists this ribosomal RNA (623 nucleotides) under Veronaea botryosa. RNAcentral's name for it is "LSU rRNA". It matches the Rfam family "Eukaryotic large subunit ribosomal RNA", at positions 35 to 670 of the family's 3401-position model. Lineage: Eukaryota; Fungi; Ascomycota; Eurotiomycetes; Chaetothyriales; Herpotrichiellaceae. The record is from RNAcentral.
UUUGCAUAUCAAUAAGCGGAGGAAAAGAAACCAACAGGGAUUGCCUCAGUAACGGCGAGUGAAGCGGCAACAGCUCAAAUUUGAAAUCUGGCCUCUUUGGGGUCCGAGUUGUAAUUUGUAGAGGAUGUUUCGGGUACCGCCUCGGUUUAAAUUUCUUGGAACAGAAUGUCAAAGAGGGUGAGAAUCCCGUCUUGGACCGGCGGUAGGGCCCAUGUGAAACUCCUUCGACGAGUCGAGUUGUUUGGGAAUGCAGCUCAAAAUGGGUGGUAAAUUUCAUCUAAAGCUAAAUAUUGGCCAGAGACCGAUAGCGCACAAGUAGAGUGAUCGAAAGAUGAAAAGCACUUUGAAAAGAGAGUUAAACAGUAUGUGAAAUUGUUGAAAGGGAAGCGCUUACAACCAGACUUGAGCGCGGCGGUUCCCCCUUCCUUUUGGUUGGGUUACUCCGUCGUGUCCAGGCCAACAUCGGUUUCGGGGGUCGGUUAAAGACCUUGGGAAUGUAUCUACCCUUCGGGCGUAGACUUAUAGCCCAGGGUGUCAUGCGGCCUCCCGGGACCGAGGAACGCGCUUCGGCUCGGAUGUUGGCGUAAUGGUUGUCAGCGACCCGUCUUGAAACACGGACCAAA